AUGAACGCUGGCGGCGUGCCUAAUACAUGCAAGUCGAGCGAACGGACGAGAAGCUUGCUUCUCUGAUGUUAGCGGCGGACGGGUGAGUAACACGUGGAUAACCUACCUAUAAGACUGGGAUAACUUCGGGAAACCGUAGCUAAUACCGGAUAAUAUUUUGAACCGCAUGGUUCAAAAGUGAAAGACGGUCUUGCUGUCACUUAUAGAUGGAUCCGCGCUGCAUUAGCUAGUUGGUAAGGUAACGGCUUACCAAGGCAACGAGGCAUAGCCGACCUGAGAGGGUGAUCGGCCACACUGGAACUGAGACACGGUCCAGACUCCUACGGGAGGCAGCAGUAGGGAAUCUUCCGCAAUGGGCGAAAGCCUGACGGAGCAACGCCGCGUGAGUGAUGAAGGUCUUCGGAUCGUAAAACUCUGUUAUUAGGGAAGAACAUAUGUGUAAGUAACUGUGCACAGCUUGACGGUACCUAAUCAGAAAGCCACGGCUAACUACGUG
Molecule: ribosomal RNA, 496 nt
Filed under: uncultured bacterium
Lineage: Bacteria
Description: partial 16S ribosomal RNA
Rfam family: Bacterial small subunit ribosomal RNA
Source: RNAcentral